Molecule: ribosomal RNA, 514 nt
Filed under: Batrachomatus daemeli
Lineage: Eukaryota; Metazoa; Arthropoda; Insecta; Coleoptera; Dytiscidae
Description: partial 16S ribosomal RNA
Rfam family: Bacterial large subunit ribosomal RNA (bases 388-514)
Source: RNAcentral
GUCCUUUUGGUUUAUAUAUAAGGUCUAGCCUGCCCACUGAUAAAAUUAAAUGGCCGCAGUAAUUUGACUGUGCAAAGGUAGCAUAAUCAUUAGUUUUUUAAUUAAAAGCUUGUAUGAAUGGUUGGACGAAAUAAAAGCUGUCUCUAUUUAAUUUAUUAUAGAAUUUAAUUUUUAAGUUAAAAAGCUUAAAUAUUUUUUAAAGACGAGAAGACCCUAUAGAUCUUUAUAUUAAUUAUAAUAGUUUUAUUUAGUAAUUUUUAAUUAUUUUAUUAUAAUUAGUAUUUUAUUGGGGUAAUAUAAAGAUUUGAAAAAUUCUUUAAUUUUAUUACAUUGAUUUAUGAUUAUUUUGAUCUUUUAGUAAAGAUUAUUAGAUUAAGUUACCUUAGGGAUAACAGCGUAAUUUUUUUAGAGAGUUCAUAUCGAUAAAAAAGUUUGCGACCUCGAUGUUGGAUUAAAAAUUAUCUUAGGUGCAGAAGUUUAGGAUUUUGGUCUGUUCGACCAUUAAAUUUUUACA